UACGAGUGCCUCAAGCGUUAUCCGGAAUCAUUGGGCGUAAAGGGUGCGCAGGCGGUUGGGUGUGUCAGAUGUGAAAUCCCGAGGCUUAACCUCGGAACUGCGUCUGAAACUACUCGACUAGAGUACUGGAGAGGGUAACGGAAUUCACGGUGUAGCAGUGAAAUGCGUAGAUAUCGUGAGGAACACCAGAGGCGAAGGCGGUUACCUGGACAGUUACUGACGCUGAGACGCGAAAGCGUGGGGAGCAAACAGG
RNAcentral lists this ribosomal RNA (253 nucleotides) under uncultured bacterium. Its description in RNAcentral is "partial 16S ribosomal RNA". It matches the Rfam family "Bacterial small subunit ribosomal RNA", at positions 524 to 776 of the family's 1533-position model. The record is from RNAcentral.